This 77-nucleotide transfer RNA is filed under the name Alphaproteobacteria bacterium. RNAcentral describes it as "tRNA-Ile". It matches the Rfam family "tRNA". From Rfam's summary of the family: Transfer RNA (tRNA) molecules are approximately 80 nucleotides in length. Their secondary structure includes four short double-helical elements and three loops (D, anti-codon, and T loops). The record is from RNAcentral. Lineage: Bacteria; Pseudomonadati; Pseudomonadota; Alphaproteobacteria. RNAcentral also lists the same sequence under 1 other name.
GGGCCAGUAGCUCAGGUGGUUAGAGCGCACGCCUGAUAAGCGUGAGGUCGGAGGUUCAACUCCUCCCUGGCCCACCA